Molecule: ribosomal RNA, 406 nt
Filed under: uncultured bacterium
Lineage: Bacteria
Description: partial 16S ribosomal RNA
Rfam family: Bacterial small subunit ribosomal RNA
Source: RNAcentral
AUUGAACGCUGGCGGCAGGCCUAACACAUGCAAGUCGAACGAGUGGCGGACGGGUGAGUAAUGUCUGGGAAACUGCCUGAUGGAGGGGGAUAACUACUGGAAACGGUAGCUAAUACCGCAUACCAUCGGAUGUGCCCAGAUGGGAUUAGCUAGUAGGUGGGGUAACGGCUCACCUAGGCGACGAUCCCUAGCUGGUCUGAGAGGAUGACCGGCCACAGUGGGACUGAGACAAGGGCCAGGAUCCUACGGGAGGGAGCAGUGGGGAAUAUUGCACAAUGGGCGCAAGCCUGAUGCAGCCAUGCCGCGUGUAUGAAGAAGGCCUUCGGGUUGUAAAGUACUUUCAGCGGGGAGGCGGUACCAGCAGAAUAAGCACCGGCUAACUACGUGCCAGCAGCCGCGGUAAUAC